Molecule: long non-coding RNA, 1540 nt
Filed under: Bemisia tabaci
Lineage: Eukaryota; Metazoa; Arthropoda; Insecta; Hemiptera; Aleyrodidae
Description: lncRNA ENSSSA3NGG000284
Source: RNAcentral
CGUAAUGCAGUGAGUCAGGAGUAUGAUGAUUGCGAAAGUCUGCUCCAUGUUCGCCGCGUUUUUCGUGUGUGUUAAUUUGGUAUCCCCGAAUUCAGCACUUGCGAUCAGCGGUCCCGCGAGAAACGCAAAUAUCAACGAAAUAGCCCUCAUUAAAACUGAUCUCUCCAAGGAACCCGCAGAUCAGGAUGACGAAAAUAUCGUCGCGACCCUCCAGAAAAGAUUCUUGGGCGAUCUCUUCGGCAGCAUAGGCGACCUGGCCGACGGUAACGUCUCGAUCAACAACUCCGGUAUCAUGGAGGGCAACGGAAACGGCUCGAUCUACUUCAGCGAUAACAACUUCGGUCCCUCCGCGUCGAAGCGCCGAACUUCGCCGCAGAGGAAUGUCGAAGUCAACAACACCGGUCACUUUAAGGGAGACUUCAACGGCUCCGUCUUCGAAGGCGGGUGGGAUGCGUCGUCCCCGAAAAGGACCCCCUCGGGAAGCGGCCGGGAGUCCCCGAGGCUUCAGAGGAGCCCUUCCAAGGGCUCCAGGUCGCCCAAUGGAUUGACCAGGUCUAACUCGAAUGUGGGACGAAACGCUAGGAUCAAUAACAACUGGAAGUCAGCCAAGGGCAAAGGCAACGGUCAAGUGUACUCCCUCCCGCCAAACGUCCCGUUGAGCUCGGUGUUUAGCAAUUCAACCGACUUGAACGGGCGGUAUGUGAGCCACGACGAUGACGGCCUCUACUUCACGGUAUUGAGCCCAGGGAACCUCGACAUCCAAGUGCAUAACAGAGCGGUCUACGUCAACGGAAAGUGCGUCUGCGGUGACAUCAGAAAGCUGGACCAUAAGGCGCAUUACCAGAUCUGGAAGGACGGUUCCGCCUGGCACACGAAUCUAAACCUUGGCCGAAAGAUGAACCCGCAGGAGGAGAAGGCCUUCGAGGCCAAGGUCCAGAGACUCGAGGCGGAGAAGAAGGAAGCGAAGAAGGCGGCCAGGCAAGCGAGGGAGGCGCGCAAGAGGGCGAGGGAGGCGGCCAAGAAGGUGAGGGAGGCGGCUCGUGAGCGAAGGAUACGCCAGAGGCGUAGUACCAUGGACUGGAACGCGGACGAUGCUUACUGGGAUAGGUUUGAAAGAGAAAUGGAGGAGACUGUUGCGAAACCUCUGGAGAGCAUGAGCAUGAAGAUGGACGCUGCUGCACGGAAGAGAGAAGCUGCUAUGGAGCGUAGAAUAGCCGCCAGGAGGGGACGGGUCGUAGUCGAUGAUGAUGAUUGAGCCGAAUUUUCCCAAAGCAAUGAAGUUCCUGCAAAAACGGAGGAUAAGGGCAUACCGGGAAAACCGAGAAAUAUCAGGGAAAAUCUGGAAAUGUCAGGGACACAUUGUUUUGUCACCGUUCUUUGCUGUCUAGAACGGGUUUGUCGUUUUGAACAAUAAAUUUUGCCUGAAAACUGUUUCUAAUUUUGUACCUACCAUCUGGCGUAUCUUCAACUGUCAGAGAAUUCCACCAAAAUGUCACGAAAAUUAAGGAAAUUUCGGGGAAUUUCUUUCUGUAAAUUCUGU